CGGGUGAGUAAUGCGUGACCAACCUGCCCCAUGCUCCAGAAUAGCUCUUGGAAACGGGUGGUAAUGCUGGAUGCUCCAACUUGACGCAUGUCUUGUUGGGAAAGUGUUUAGUGGCAUGGGAUGGGGUCGCGUCCUAUCAGCUUGUAGGCGGGGUAAUGGCCCACCUAGGCUUCGACGGGUAGCCGGCCUGAGAGGGCGGACGGCCACAUCGGGACUGAGAUACGGCCCAGACUCCUACGGGAGGCAGCAGGC
This 252-nucleotide ribosomal RNA is filed under the name uncultured Gardnerella sp. RNAcentral describes it as "partial 16S ribosomal RNA". It matches the Rfam family "Bacterial small subunit ribosomal RNA", at positions 103 to 354 of the family's 1533-position model. Lineage: Bacteria; Bacillati; Actinomycetota; Actinomycetes; Bifidobacteriales; Bifidobacteriaceae. The record is from RNAcentral.